ACGGAAGGCAGCAGUGAGGAAUAUUGGUCAAUGGGCGGAAGCCUGAACCAGCCAAGUCGCGUGAAGGAUGAAGGUAUUAUGUAUUGUAAACUUCUUUAGCAGUGGAGUAAUAAGGGGAUCGUGAUCCCUGAUGCAAGUACACUGAAAAUAAGGAUCGGCUAACUCCGUGCCAGCAGCCGCGGUAAUACGGAGGAUCCGAGCGUUAUCCGGAUUUAUUGGGUUUAAAGGGUGCGCAGGCGGCUUUUUAAGUCAGCGGUAAAAUCGUGGGGCUCAACCCCAUCCUGCCGUUGAUACUGGAGAGCUUGAUUGCGGUUGAGGUUGGCGGAAUUCGUCGUGUAGCGGUGAAAUGCAUAGAUAUGACGAAGAACUCCGAUUGCGUAGGCAGCUGACCAAGCUGUAAAUGACGCUCAUGCACGAAAGUGCGGGGAUCGAACAGGAUUAGAUACCCUGGUA
RNAcentral lists this ribosomal RNA (453 nucleotides) under uncultured Bacteroides sp. RNAcentral's name for it is "partial 16S ribosomal RNA". It matches the Rfam family "Bacterial small subunit ribosomal RNA", at positions 341 to 792 of the family's 1533-position model. Lineage: Bacteria; Pseudomonadati; Bacteroidota; Bacteroidia; Bacteroidales; Bacteroidaceae. The record is from RNAcentral.